CUCGUAGGCGGUUCGUCGCGUCCGGUGUGAAAGUCCAUCGCUUAACGGUGGAUCUGCGCCGGGUACGGGCGGGCUGGAGUGCGGUAGGGGAGACUGGAAUUCCCGGUGUAACGGUGGAAUGUGUAGAUAUCGGGAAGAACACCAAUGGCGAAGGCAGGUCUCCGGGCCGUUACUGACGCUGAGGAGCGAAAGCGUGGGGAGCGAACA
RNAcentral lists this ribosomal RNA (207 nucleotides) under uncultured bacterium. RNAcentral's name for it is "partial 16S ribosomal RNA". It matches the Rfam family "Bacterial small subunit ribosomal RNA", at positions 568 to 774 of the family's 1533-position model. The record is from RNAcentral.